RNAcentral lists this transfer RNA (76 nucleotides) under Actinoallomurus iriomotensis. Its description in RNAcentral is "tRNA-Ala". It matches the Rfam family "tRNA". Rfam says of the family: Transfer RNA (tRNA) molecules are approximately 80 nucleotides in length. Their secondary structure includes four short double-helical elements and three loops (D, anti-codon, and T loops). RNAcentral also lists the same sequence under 4 other names. The record is from RNAcentral. Lineage: Bacteria; Bacillati; Actinomycetota; Actinomycetes; Streptosporangiales; Thermomonosporaceae.
GGGGCCUUAGCUCAGUUGGCAGAGCGCCUGCUUUGCAAGCAGGAAGUCAGGGGUUCAAAUCCCCUAGGCUCCACCA